This 469-nucleotide long non-coding RNA is filed under the name Brassica napus (rape). Its description in RNAcentral is "long non-coding RNA (BNAP_LNC019446)". The record is from RNAcentral. Lineage: Eukaryota; Viridiplantae; Streptophyta; Magnoliopsida; Brassicales; Brassicaceae.
CGAAGCUUUGGAGAACCUAGAUGGAGGAACUCUGCCUUCUUGCUUAGUAAGCCCAAAGGGGCUCUACACUUUCCUCCACGUCUGGACGAGGAUGAGGGUUUCGACCUCUCAAGCACACCUUUAUCAUUACCCACAUCCCUCUCCGUAAGCUUAACGAUGUCAGCCUUCAUAUCCAUUAGGUCCUCUCCCAGCAAAUCAUCCUCAUUCCCGCCCUCACUCUUAUAUGUGUCAUUUAUCUGCACUGUUACUUGUAAUUUCCAUGUCAUUUAAGGCACCAAUAACCUGAGCAUUGACCGGUAAUACUUCCUCCGUAGGAGAGAAAGUUAACAAGCGAGGAGAGACUGUAGGUCGUUUCGUCACAUCAUCAUCAAGAGCAUGACGAGAUGGAGUGACGAUCAAACUUGCUAUCCUUUUCCCACUACUCUGCUGGGUGUCUUGCAUCAUUACACCAUCAGACUGUUGUGUAGAU